UGAAUACGAGACGCUAAGGCGUUGAAGUAGUGUAUGUCAUACUUCCAAGAAAAGCUUGCACUGUCAUAGAUAAAAAACGCCUGUACCAUAACCGACACAGGUGGGUAGGUAGAGUAUACUAAGGGGCGCGAGAUAACUCUCUCUAAGGAACUCGGCAAAAUAACUCCGUAACUUCGGGAGAAGGAGUGCCUUAUUUAUAAGGCUGCAAUAACAAGAUCCAAGCAACUGUUUAUCAAAACACAGGUCUCCGCUAAGUCGUAAGACGAUGUAUGGGGCUGACGCCUGCCCAGUGCCAGAAGGUUAAAGAAGUUGGUUAGCAAUAGCGAAGCUGAUAACUGAAGCCCUGGUGAACGGCGGCCGUAACAAUAACGGUCCUAAGGUAGCGAAAUUCCUUGUCGGGUAAGUUCCGACCCGCACGAAAGGCGUAAUGAUUUGGAUACUGUCUCGGAGAGGGGCUCGGUGAAAUAGACUUGUCUGUGAAGAUGCGGACUACCUGCACCAGGACAGAAAGACCCUAUGAAGCUUUACUGUAACUUGAAAUUGAAAUUGGACUUUAUUCGCGCAGUAUAGGUGGGAGGCGUUGAUUGUAAUCUUGCGGGAUUAUUGGAGCCAUCAGUGAGAUACCACCCUUGUAAUGUUAGAUUUCUAACUUUGAAUCAUUAUCUGGUCAAAGAACAGUUUCAGGCGGGCAGUUUGACUGGGGCGGUCGCCUCCUAAACGGUAACGGAGGCGUACAAAGGUUUCCUCUGAACGGUUAGAAAUCGUAUCUAGAGUGUAAAGGCAUAAGGAAGCUUGACUGUGAGACCUACAAGUCGAGCAGGGACGAAAGUCGGUCUUAGUGAUCUGACGGUACUGAGUGGAAAGGCCGUCACUCAACGGAUAAAAGUUACUCUAAGGAUAACAGGCUGAUCUCCCCCAAGAGUUCACAUCGACGGGGAGGUUUGGCACCUGGAUGUCGGCUCAUCGCAUCCUGGGGCGGUAGUAUGUCCCAAGGGUUGGGCUGUUCGCCCAUGAAAGCGGUACGCGAGCUGGGUUCAGAACGUCGUGAGACAGUUCGGUCCAUAUCCGGUGUAGGCGUUAGAAUAUUGAGAGGAGCCUUCUUUAGUACGAGAGGACCGAGAAGGACAUACCUCUGGUGUACCAGUUAUCGUGCCAACGGUAAACGCUGGGUAGCUAUGUAUGGAGUGGAUAACCGCUGAAAGCAUCUAAGUGGGAAGCCCACCUCAAGAUAAG
RNAcentral lists this ribosomal RNA (1233 nucleotides) under metagenome. Its description in RNAcentral is "bacterial LSU rRNA". It matches the Rfam family "Bacterial large subunit ribosomal RNA", at positions 1564 to 2808 of the family's 2925-position model. The record is from RNAcentral.